GACGAACUGUGCGAACGUUAUUCGGAAUCACUGGGCUUACAGGGUGCGUAGGCGGCCUGUUAAGUAGGGUGUGAAAUCCCCCGGCCCAACCGGGGAAUGGCGCUCUAAACUAGCAGGCUUGAGUGAGCUAGGGGUGCACGGAACUUCCAGUGGAGCGGUGAAAUGUGUUGAUAUUGGAAGGAGCACCGGAGGCGAAAGCGGUGCACUGGGGCUUAACUGACGCUGAGGCACGAAAGCCAGGGGAGCGAACGGG
This 253-nucleotide ribosomal RNA is filed under the name uncultured bacterium. Its description in RNAcentral is "partial 16S ribosomal RNA". It matches the Rfam family "Bacterial small subunit ribosomal RNA", at positions 524 to 776 of the family's 1533-position model. The record is from RNAcentral.